GCCCUGGUGGUGUAGUCCGGACUAUCAUACUGCCCUUUCGAGGCGGUGACCCGGGUUCGAAUCCCGGCCAGGGCA
RNAcentral lists this transfer RNA (75 nucleotides) under Nanobdellota archaeon. Its description in RNAcentral is "tRNA-Glu". It matches the Rfam family "tRNA". Rfam says of the family: Transfer RNA (tRNA) molecules are approximately 80 nucleotides in length. Their secondary structure includes four short double-helical elements and three loops (D, anti-codon, and T loops). RNAcentral also lists the same sequence under 3 other names. Lineage: Archaea; Nanobdellati; Nanobdellota. The record is from RNAcentral.